This 45-nucleotide non-coding RNA is filed under the name Schistosoma mattheei. Lineage: Eukaryota; Metazoa; Platyhelminthes; Trematoda; Strigeidida; Schistosomatidae. The record is from RNAcentral.
AUCAUGCUAACGAGUCUCAAAUAGAACGAAACGUGCGUCCUGGAU